ACAUGAUGGUGAUCAUAAUACCUUCCCUAAAACGUCGUGGUGAGGACCAAAUGAGCUGGGUAAGGGCUAGCACCAUCCUCAGCAUGUGUCAAUAGGAGGUGGGCGCUGCUCCAGGAAGGCAGGCGGCAGCUGCUCCAGGAAGGCAGGCGGCAGCUGCUCCAGGAAGGCAGGCGGCAGGUACAUGGAUCACAGUGGAGUCUGUGAUGCAGACCUCCCACUCAACAUGUCCCCGACCGUCUGCUCUGCCCUGCUAGGUGGACCACAGGAAGGCUGCUCUUCCUCCAGCCAUCACACGGGGCAUGCUGCCCAGCAGGGGGAGUUCAGGGGGGAUCUUCUCUCCCACUGGCCCCCUGGGCUGGGGGCCUUUGUUCUGUUCAUGGAAAGGGCUACAGCCCUCCCGCCAGAAAACAUGUGGAAUCCCACCGGCUGUUCCCUCACAGUAUAUUCAACACUCAGCAGCUUCUCACCACCCCACCGUGGCCACCCAGCCCCAGCUCCUCUUAGACCUCACAUCCCAUUCAUCUGCACAGCCUGCCUGAAAAUAUACCUCGAGUUCUUUCAGUCACUCCUCAAACUGGGCCUGAGUUGUGUCAUCUUUUCCUGACUGUUCACGGGUCUAGAUGUUUCCUCACUGGCCUUCACUGGUGAUGCUGCUACCUUUAUCACACACACACCACCUGCCAUAUACACUCACAGAUGCACACACACACACAGCUCCUCCAUCACUGUGCAUGGCUUUAUGCACAGCACCUCCCCCACAGGGUCCCCCAUCCCCACCUCGCUUCUCAGUACUGCAGCCAGACUUAAAUCCCAAGUGGGUCAUGCCAUCCCAUUUCACUCAGAGUCAAAGCCAAGGUCCUUACAGGGGUCUGCCCAGCACCCUGUGGCCUCCACCACAGCCCUCUGCACCGGUUCCUCUCUCGCCUGGAACACUCCUCGCUUCUCCUCCAGCUCCCCACAUCUCCUCCUUCCUCCCCAGUGCUCCUCCUGCCCCGUGGCUGACUUUCCUCCCCAGCACUUCCCACCUCCCAGCAUUGUUUACUUCUUUAUCCCUCUGCUGGCCUCGGUCACCAGAAUGUAUAUGAGAGGAGGACAAGGGUCUGUGUCCCCUGCCCCAGCCCUGCCGUGGAGAGCAGUGCCUGGCACCUGGAUGCUUUCAGUGAAUAUCUGUUGAAAGAUUCACGGAGGAUUGUGGGACCGCACACGCAUAGUGUCUUCAUCAUUACAGAACUGUCCCGAAUUGAAAUUUGACUGCCAC
This is a long non-coding RNA of Bos taurus (domestic cattle), 1258 nucleotides long. The record is from Ensembl. Lineage: Eukaryota; Metazoa; Chordata; Mammalia; Artiodactyla; Bovidae.